UGGGGAAUAUUGGACAAUGGGCGCAAGCCUGAUCCAGCCAUGCGGCGUGUGUGAAGAAGGCCUUAUGGUUGUAAAGCACUUUAAGCGAGGAGGAGGCUACGUUAGUUAAUACCUAGAGAUAGUGGACGUUACUCGCAGAAUAAGCACCGGCUAACUCUGUGCCAGCAGCCGCGGUAAUACAGAGGGUGCAAGCGGUAAUCGGAUGUACUGGGCGUAAAGCGCGCGUAGGCGGCUAAUUAAGUCAAAUGUGAAAUCCCCGAGCUGAACUUGGGAAUUGCAUUGGAUACUGGUUAGCUAGAGUGUGGGAGAGGAUGGUAGAAUUCCAGGUGUAGCGGUGAAAUGCGUAGAGAUCUGGAGGAAUACCGAUGGCGAAGGCAGCCAUCUGGCCUAACACUGACGCUGAGGUGCGAAAGCAUGGGGAGCAAACAGG
Molecule: ribosomal RNA, 430 nt
Filed under: Pseudomonadota bacterium
Lineage: Bacteria; Pseudomonadati; Pseudomonadota
Description: Proteobacteria bacterium partial 16S ribosomal RNA
Rfam family: Bacterial small subunit ribosomal RNA
Source: RNAcentral